UGAGUUGUUUAAAACUAUUUCAAUAGAUGAGAAGCGUGGUUGCAAAGUUUUCCCAAAUAUUCCCAAAAUAUCAACAAACUUUGUCCGUCCCUUUCCAGAUCUGUUUUUCUUUCCUCAUAACCUUCUUCCAUGUCUGUCUAGACAAUGAAUUCUGUUUUCUCCAAUGGAAGAAAUGGAAACGCACUAGGAACUUGUGCAUGCAAUCAUGAUACUGUGGCGUAACAUGUUGACAUAUGCCAGUGGAGUUGCUCCACUUACUUGCAUGUCCAUUUCAGCAUUACAGUCCAUUACAGCAAAUAGGAAAUUAUAUAGUUCAUGAUAGUCUUCUAUCAUGAUGAACUUCGGAGAACUGCACUGUCUUGCUCUUGGCUAAGAGCAUAAACAUACACAGCUAUGGCAGUUGACCACAGUAAUUUGUGAAGCUGCAAAAAUUUGAUUUGUCUGUAAAGAAUGUAGCUGUCUCAGUCUUCAAGUAUUUGUUUCUCCAGCAGGUGGAGAAAAAUAUCCCUAGCAAGUUACUGUAACAGGAAUGAACCGCUAGGGAGAGCUGUAAAAAAAAUACCACAACGUACAACUGUUCUGACAGCUUAUACGAUAUGCUAACAAAUUGUGGUUUUAGUCUCAUAUGUAUGUUAGCAUGCUUUUAGCAGACUUUCAGCAUGGUAAUUCCCAUCAGAGUAACAAGACUGUGAGCAAGUUCAGGCCUACCUAAGUAUUGCAAUUUUAUUUAAACAUCCAGGGCAGCUCAAAUAGCAAAGGGUGUUGAGAGGUAAUGCUGUGCUCCAGGAAGAUGGCCACACUCGGUAAAAACUCGGGACUUCCUUAAGAGAGCAGCUGUAGCUUCUUGGGUAAGAAAGGUAGAGGUAGGAAAGGAAGAAACUAACUUUUUAAAGAUUUCCCUUAAGGGAAGUGACAAGAAGGAUUGGUAAAGGCUCAGUUGACUUCUAUCCUGACUUGGGACAACGGAAGGAGAAUAUGAGAAGCUUUGUUCAUAUUUCAGGAAGCGUAUUCAUGACUUGUGUCUCAGAAGGGACCAGAUCUAUUGGUUGUCCUCACAGCACAUGGCAGAGAUAUGUAUCUAUCAAUAUACUUUCUUGUAAAGGAGAAUGGACCUUUGUCAAGAAGAAGAGAAAGCUAUGAAACAGGAAUUGCAGUAACUCGGGAUCAGCCUUGUUAUUUGAUCUUUCUCAAAGUACUUUAUGGGAAGGGCUGGAUGAAGAAGCAAAUCCUGCUUCUCUGAGAGCUACCUUAGUUCAACAUCCUGGAAUUGCAUGUGGGACUACCAGGACAUCCUUCCAUCCUUCAGUUUCUGCAGCACUCAUGGAGCCCAAUCUGAUAAGAGCUCUGAACUUUCAACAUGGGUAGGGCUUAGAUAAAGGGACAGCCCACUAUUCUGAAUUCUUUUAGUGGAGUAGGUACCUGCUGUUUCUACUUGUUCAAUAAAAUCUGUUAACUUGCACAUCAAGCUGUUAUCACUCUUUGGUAAGUGAAAUCACUGUGGAAGAUAAACUCUUUUUACCAGUGGCAGGAGAGAAAUCCCAUUUUAUCUGUUUUUUCCUUUGGACCAGAAGACCAAGACCAGAGCAACAGGCAUGUGUAGCAUCUUUCACCUGCCUGCUCUUAAGCAUUUACUGUUGAAUACAGUUCCUAUAGUAGGAGUCUAGACAGACUCUGGUCACUGUAAAAAAAAAAAAAAGAAAAAACCAAAAAACACAAAAACCCCCCAAACUUUACUUUAGGGUGACAGGUCUCUCUUGGGUGAGUGGCAAUAGCCCAAUAUAGAGACCUUAGAGGCUUAAAGCAGAGAGGCUGUAAAAAGUCAGCAGGUCAGCAUGUACAUACAAAAACCUUGAAAUUCAGUUGCUGAAGUACCAGCCAGAUCUCUCUUGAAGGAUGUCCAUGUGUUCUGGAGAAUACAGAAAAAAUAAAUACUGCCUUACUGGAUCAGAGCAUAGUCAGUAUCUAUGUCUAACAGCAGCUGUAGGAGAUGGUGCUUACAGGAAGCAGGCAGACCUGGUCGAUUUAUGCAGUCCAGUGCAGUUGUAUUCUGCCAGCAUCCACACUUCUUGUAUUACAGGUUGUUAAAGGCUGCAUCCCUGACUCUAUCUUCUAGUAUCAUUUUGUGGAUGUGUAGUCUAUCAGUUUGAUUCCUUUUGAAUGUGCUGAUGCUCUUUUUCUGCAGUAUACUGUGGCAGAAAGUUCAAGAGGUUUCCUGACCUCUGUGUAGUAGACUUUUGCUGUAUUUGUUUUGAAAGAUCUAAUAGUUUCUGUGAUUUCGCGAGCAACAGUUCUGCUUUCACCUUACCCAUAAACAUCUUAAUUUCUUCUCUCCAAAUUGGAGAGUCACAGUCUUUUCAAUUUCUUCUCAUAAGGUCAGCAGCUCCUUGGUGAUUUUAAUUGCCCCUUCUGUACCUUCUCUUUUUUCACCAUGUCUUUCUUAGACAGGGAGACCAGAACUGCACACAGUAUUCCAGAAUUAGGUGAACAACGGUUUUACACUGGCAAAAUAAUACCUGGUACGUUGUUCUCAAUAUUUUUUUCUGAUGAUGUCCAAUAUUGUGUUGCCACUUGUGGGUGCCACUGCACAUUGAGCUGGUGUUUCCAGAAAACUGUCAGUGGUGACUCCAGGAUCCUGAGAUGUAACUUCCAGUUCCAAGUUUAGUAUUUUGAGCAUCAUUUACAGAAUUUUUCUUUAGAAACCUCACUUUUAUCUAAAUUGAAUCUCAUUGCCACUUUUUUGCCCCCUAUGUUCAUUUUUAUGUCCUUCUGGACAUAAAAUCCUUGCAAUUGUAACAGCAUUUAACUACUUGAAAAACUUAGGAUCAUGCAGAAGUUUGAAGACUUGACUUUACCAGCACACUGGUGAGAACAUUGAAUAAAACUGAUCACAACACUAGUCUUGGGAACUGCACUGUUGGGUUUUGUGCAUUUUGAAAGGAGAAUGACUGUUAAAUUCUACCUUUUGCGUUUUGUUUUCCUAUAAUUAGCUUUCUAUUUAAAAAAAACACAA
Harpia harpyja (harpy eagle) is the source of this 3010-nucleotide long non-coding RNA. RefSeq lists it as uncharacterized. NCBI's taxonomy places the organism in Eukaryota, Metazoa, Chordata, Aves, Accipitriformes, Accipitridae. The record is from RefSeq and is a predicted model, not a curated record. The transcript is spliced from 2 exons.